AACCUUAUGGACCUGCGGGCGUAUACCUGCGGAGGGAUCAUUACCGAGUUUACAACUCCCAAACCCCUGUGAACAUACCACUUGUUGCCUCGGCGGAUCAGCCCGCUCCCGGUAAAACGGGACGGCCCGCCAGAGGACCCCUAAACUCUGUUUCUAUAUGUAACCUCUGAGUAAAACCAUAAAUAAAUCAAAACUUUCAACAACGGAUCU
This 210-nucleotide unclassified non-coding RNA is filed under the name soil metagenome. RNAcentral's name for it is "partial contains 5.8S ribosomal RNA, internal transcribed spacer 2, and large subunit ribosomal RNA". The record is from RNAcentral.